GUUCAUUAGAGGAAGUAAAAGUCGUAACAAGGUUUCCGUAGGUGAACCUGCGGAAGGAUCAUUACCUAGAGUUUAGGCUUUGCCUGCUAUCUCUUACCCAUGUCUUUUGAGUACCUUCGUUUCCUCGGCGGGUCCGCCCGCCGAUUGGACAAUACUUAAACCCUUUGUAAUUGAAAUCAGCGUCUGAAAAACUUUAAUAGUUACAACUUUCAACAACGGAUUCAACACGGAUCUCUUGGUUCUGGCAUCGAUGAAGAACGCAGCGAAAUGCGAUAAGUAGUGUGAAUUGCAGAAUUCAGUGAAUCAUCGAAUCUUUGAACGCACAUUGCGCCCCUUGGUAUUCCAUGGGGCAUGCCUGUUCGAGCGUCAUUUGUACCUUCAAGCUUUGCUUGGUGUUGGGUGUUUGUCUCGCCUCUGCGCGCAGACUCGCCUCAAAACAAUUGGCAGCCGGCGUAUUGAUUUCGGAGCGCAGUACAUCUCGCGCUUUGCACUCAUAACGACGACGAUCCAAAAGUACAUUUUUACACUCUUGACCUCGGAUCAGGUAGGGAUACCCGCUGAACUUAAGCAUAUCAAUAGGGGGG
RNAcentral lists this ribosomal RNA (584 nucleotides) under Didymella glomerata. Its description in RNAcentral is "eukaryotic LSU rRNA". The stretch from base 216 to 369 matches the Rfam family "5.8S ribosomal RNA". The record is from RNAcentral. Lineage: Eukaryota; Fungi; Ascomycota; Dothideomycetes; Pleosporales; Didymellaceae.